This 212-nucleotide ribosomal RNA is filed under the name uncultured bacterium. RNAcentral's name for it is "partial 16S ribosomal RNA". It matches the Rfam family "Bacterial small subunit ribosomal RNA", at positions 125 to 334 of the family's 1533-position model. The record is from RNAcentral.
UCUACCCUUCCGUCCGGGAUAACUAGCCGAAAGGUUAGCUAAUACCAGAUACACUCAUCGAACGGCAUCGUUUGAUGAUGAAAGCAGCAAUGCGCGGAUUGAGGAGCCUGCGGCCCAUUAGCUAGUUGGUGAGGGUAAUGGCCCACCAAGGCAACGAUGGGUAGCUGGUCUGAGAGGACGACCAGCCACACUGGGACUGAGACACGGCCCAG